This is a long non-coding RNA of Plutella xylostella (diamondback moth), 677 nucleotides long. RefSeq lists it as uncharacterized. NCBI's taxonomy places the organism in Eukaryota, Metazoa, Arthropoda, Insecta, Lepidoptera, Plutellidae. The record is from RefSeq and is a predicted model, not a curated record.
AUGGUUGGCACAUAGGGUUGGCAAGACAGAAUGACACAGAUUUACAACACACGUAAGAAAUGCAUAGGAAGUAGAAAUUGUAAAUAUCUAUAUAAAUGAAAAACAGUAACUAAAAACAUAGCAAAUGGUAAAAAUAUAAAAUCAUCAGUGCUUCAGUAUCUAAAUCGAUUGUGAUGGCCGAAAACAGUUUUCUUUGGUCAAUAAUUUGGUUUGCGAUCCUGGUUUUAGUUUCAUUCUGGGUGGCUGGGUUUGCUGCCCCAAUAUACAUUAUUCUGCUACCUUUCACAGUUUUCAUAACAUCUUUAACGAGUUCAACGGACUUCUUCCUAAAGGCAAUGCAAUUUCCUAGAUUCUGCGCAUAUAAUAUGAAAGAAGGGCUACCAUACUCAUAAGUUCAUAACAAACAUCUCCAAAUGAUGAAAUACCUACACACAAAGAGUUACUGAAACAGACGUGUAUGUAGGCAUAGGUACGAAAUACGUGAAAAUCUGUAAUGGCUUCGACGUUAUAGUGCUUGGCAUGUGAAUUGUAUUGAAAUUACAGUAUUAUAACAAAAAAUACCCGUGAUAGUAAAGCACCCAUAAAAAUUGUAAAAGUAACUGUAAUAAUUUUAAUUAAAAUUUGGUAACGUAUAAGUGACACUGUCAAUGUAUGUAUGAUUAAAGUGUUUUUAUUGA